This 479-nucleotide ribosomal RNA is filed under the name uncultured soil bacterium. RNAcentral's name for it is "bacterial SSU rRNA". It matches the Rfam family "Bacterial small subunit ribosomal RNA", at positions 8 to 480 of the family's 1533-position model. The record is from RNAcentral.
AGAGUUUGAUCCUGGCUCAGAUUGAACGCUGGCGGCAUGCCUUACACAUGCAAGUCGAACGGCAGCACGGGAGCAAUCCUGGUGGCGAGUGGCGAACGGGUGAGUAAUACAUCGGAACGUGUCCUGUAGUGGGGGAUAGCCCGGCGAAAGCCGGAUUAAUACCGCAUACGAUCUGCGGAUGAAAGCGGGGGCUCCUUCGGGACCUCGCGCUGCAGGGGCGGCCGAUGGCAGAUUAGCUAGUUGGUGGGGUAAAGGCCUACCAAGGCGACGAUCUGUAGCUGGUCUGAGAGGACGACCAGCCACACUGGGACUGAGACACGGCCCAGACUCCUACGGGAGGCAGCAGUGGGGAAUUUUGGACAAUGGGGGCAACCCUGAUCCAGCAAUGCCGCGUGUGUGAAGAAGGCCUUCGGGUUGUAAAGCACUUUUGUCCGGAAAGAAAACCUCCUGGUUAAUACCCUGGGGGGAUGACGGUACCG